AGUGAACGCUGGCGGUAGGCCUAACACAUGCAAGUCGAACGGCAGCACAGUAAGAGCUUGCUCUUACGGGUGGCGAGUGGCGGACGGGUGAGGAAUACAUCGGAAUCUACUUUUUCGUGGGGGAUAACGUAGGGAAACUUACGCUAAUACCGCAUACGACCUACGGGUGAAAGCAGGGGAUCUUCGGACCUUGCGCGAUUGAAUGAGCCGAUGUCGGAUUAGCUAGUUGGCGGGGUAAAGGCCCACCAAGGCGACGAUCCGUAGCUGGUCUGAGAGGAUGACAACACACACUGAAAAUGAGACAGGUCCAAGCCUCAUAGGGGAGGCAGCGGUGGGAAAUAUUGAAAAAUGGGGGCAAGUCUGCACCACCCAUACCGGGGGGGAGAAGAGGGCUUUCGGUUUGAAAGCCCUUUUUGUGGGAAAAAAAAAGCAGGAGUUUAACCCCCCGCUGUUCUGAGGGUACCAAAAAAAUAGACCCCGGCUAUCUUCGGC
RNAcentral lists this ribosomal RNA (492 nucleotides) under uncultured bacterium. Its description in RNAcentral is "partial 16S ribosomal RNA". It matches the Rfam family "Bacterial small subunit ribosomal RNA", at positions 29 to 508 of the family's 1533-position model. The record is from RNAcentral.